CGUAGGGUGCGAGCGUUGUCCGGAUUUAUUGGGCGUAAAGGGCUCGUAGGUGGUUGAUCGCGUCGGAAGUGUAAUCUUGGGGCUUAACCCUGAGCGUGCUUUUCGAUACGGGUUGACUUUGAGGAAGGUAGGGGAGAAAUGGAAAUUCCUGGUGGAGCGGUGGAAUGCGCAGAUAUCAGGAGGAACACCAGUGGCGAAAGGCGGUUCUCUGGGCCUUUCCUGACGCUGAGGAGCGAAAAGCGUGGGGAGCGAACAGGCUU
RNAcentral lists this ribosomal RNA (260 nucleotides) under uncultured bacterium. RNAcentral's name for it is "partial 16S ribosomal RNA". It matches the Rfam family "Bacterial small subunit ribosomal RNA", at positions 526 to 779 of the family's 1533-position model. The record is from RNAcentral.